GACGAACGUUGGCGGCGUGCUUAAUACAUGCAAGUCAACUGAAGCAGUGGUAGCAAUAUCGCUGUGGAGGUGGCGCACGGGUGAGUAACACGUAGGUAAUCUGCCUUCAGGUCUGGCAUAACUCCGGGAAACCGGGGCUAAUAGCAGAUGAUGCAGCGGCUCGACAUCGAGACAGUUGUUAAAGCUAUGGCGCCUGAAGAUGAGCCUGCGUCUGAUUAGCUAGUUGGCGGGGUAACGGCCCACCAAGGCAACGAUCAGUAGCUGGUCUGAGAGGAUGAUCAGCAACACUGGAACUGAGACACGGUCCAGACUCCUACGGGAGGCAGCAGUAAGGAAUAUUGCUCAAUGGGAGAAAUCCUGAAGCAGCAACGCCGCGUGAGGGACGAAGGGCUUUGGCUUGUAAACCUCUGUAGUGAGAGAAAAAAAUCCCAAUCUUUGGGACAUGAUGGUAUCUCAAAAGUAAGCCCCGGCUAACUACGUG
RNAcentral lists this ribosomal RNA (481 nucleotides) under uncultured bacterium. RNAcentral's name for it is "partial 16S ribosomal RNA". It matches the Rfam family "Bacterial small subunit ribosomal RNA", at positions 28 to 507 of the family's 1533-position model. The record is from RNAcentral.